GUGGUCAAUGUACCUAAAACCCGAAUAACCUUCUGUAAGAAAUGUGGCAAGCAUCAACCUCACAAAGUGACGCAGUAUAAGAAGGGCAAGGAUUCCUUGUAUGCCCAGGGAAAGAGGCGCUAUGAUCAGAAGCAGAGUGGCUAUGGUAGGCAGACAAAGCCAAUUUUCCAGAAGAAGGCUAAGACCACAAAGAAGAUUGUGCUAAGGCUGGAAUGUGUUGAAUCUAACUGCAGAUUCAGGAGGAUGCUGACCAUUAAGAGAUACAAGCAUUUUAAACUGGGAGGAGAUAAGAAGAGAAAGGGACAAGUGAUCCAGUUCUAA
This 321-nucleotide long non-coding RNA is filed under the name Homo sapiens (human). RNAcentral describes it as "non-protein coding lnc-MUC15-3:3". Lineage: Eukaryota; Metazoa; Chordata; Mammalia; Primates; Hominidae. The record is from RNAcentral.